AACUUUCAACAACGGAUCUCUUGGCUCUCGCAUCGAUGAAGAACGCAGCGAAAUGCGAUAAGUAAUGUGAAUUGCAGAAUUCAGUGAAUCAUCGAAUCUUUGAACGCACCUUGCGCUCCUUGGUAUUCCGAGGAGCAUGCCUGUUUGAGUGUCAUGAA
RNAcentral lists this ribosomal RNA (158 nucleotides) under Tomentellopsis echinospora. RNAcentral's name for it is "5.8S ribosomal RNA". It matches the Rfam family "5.8S ribosomal RNA". Rfam says of the family: 5.8S ribosomal RNA (5.8S rRNA) is a component of the large subunit of the eukaryotic ribosome. Lineage: Eukaryota; Fungi; Basidiomycota; Agaricomycetes; Thelephorales; Thelephoraceae. The record is from RNAcentral. RNAcentral also lists the same sequence under 1 other name.